Molecule: ribosomal RNA, 497 nt
Filed under: uncultured bacterium
Lineage: Bacteria
Description: partial 16S ribosomal RNA
Rfam family: Bacterial small subunit ribosomal RNA
Source: RNAcentral
GAUGAACGCUGGCGGCGUGCCUAAUACAUGCAAGUCGAGCGAACGGACGAGAAGCUUGCUUUUCUGAUGUUAGCGGCGGAGGGGGGAGUAACACGUGGAUAACCUACCUAUAAGACUGGGAUAACUUCGGGAAACCGGAGCUAAUACCGGAUAAUAUUUUGAACCGCAUGGUUCAAAAGUGAAAGACGGUCUUGCUGUCACUUAUAGAUGGAUCCGCGCUGCAUUAGCUAGUUGGUAAGGUAACGGCUUACCAAGGCAACGAUGCAUAGCCGACCUGAGAGGGUGAUCGGCCACACUGGAACUGAGACACGGUCCAGACUCCUACGGGAGGCAGCAGUAGGGAAUCUUCCGCAAUGGGCGAAAGCCUGACGGAGCAACGCCGCGUGAGUGAUGAAGGUCUUCGGAUCGUAAAACUCUGUUAUUAGGGAAGAACAUAUGUGUAAGUAACUGUGCACAUCUUGACGGUACCUAAUCAGAAAGCCACGGCUAACUACGUG